Molecule: long non-coding RNA, 693 nt
Filed under: Dermacentor andersoni
Lineage: Eukaryota; Metazoa; Arthropoda; Arachnida; Ixodida; Ixodidae
Description: uncharacterized LOC126521974
Source: RNAcentral
AAUAUAUACUCGCAGGUCCCUGAGCACGGUGACGAGUGACUCGGCGGCAUGCGAGGAGUCAAGCACGAAAUUUCUGAAAGGACUUACCUACCUAUGAUCGCGGGGCACACUCGCCUGCGUCCUCGGAGGAAGAAGAAAGCGGUUCGCCUAGUAAAAGGCUGAGAAUAGCACCCAGAGAAUCUUGUUGGCCGUCCAAGGAUGGUUAACGGCACAAAAGUCUCCGAGCCAAGGGACGAGCUGGAAAGGAGUCUCGCAUGUGUUCAGGCUGCCGAGACCCGAGCACGCGGGCGCCGACGGAUGUUGAUGCUGCCACGCUGGUCACGACUCGUGGUCGCCGACCGGGCCGCGCUCUGCCUGCUGGCAGGGAGCAGCUCUCGGCGCACGCGGUGAACUGGACAGCUCUCGCCUCUCCAUCGGCACUGAGCGCAGAGGAGCUUCAUUCUGUGGUAUACACUUUCGCUUCCUCGACCCUGGCGGGCCCCAUCGGAAAUUUGUUCCUGCAGCGAUGAACCAGUCCUAGAAAACGGGCUCCAUUGGAAAUUUGUUCCCGCAGCGAUGAACCAGUCCCACAAAGAGGGAGGAAGGAAGGAAGGAAGGAAGGAAGGAAGGAAGGAAGGAAGGAAGGAAGGAAGGAAGGAAGGAAGGAAGAAAGAAAGAAAGAAAGAAAGAAAGAAAGAAAGAAAGGAAGGAAGA